RNAcentral lists this small RNA (73 nucleotides) under Xanthomonas campestris pv. raphani. RNAcentral describes it as "sX9 sRNA". It matches the Rfam family "Xanthomonas sRNA sX9". The record is from RNAcentral. Lineage: Bacteria; Pseudomonadati; Pseudomonadota; Gammaproteobacteria; Lysobacterales; Lysobacteraceae.
AUGUACCCCCACACACGCCGGUUCCUCCGCGCCGCACGCACCCACCUGGCGACUGCUUGCUACUUUGUUAGCC